Molecule: ribosomal RNA, 830 nt
Filed under: uncultured cyanobacterium
Lineage: Bacteria; Bacillati; Cyanobacteriota
Description: bacterial SSU rRNA
Rfam family: Bacterial small subunit ribosomal RNA
Source: RNAcentral
CAUGCAGUCGACGAAGAUGGCAGCCUCUGGUUGGCAUCUUAGUGGCGGACGGGUGAGUAACGCGUAAGAACUUGCCCCUGGGAGAGGGAUACCAACUGGAAACGGUUGUUAAUACCUCAUAGGCUGAGGAGUAAAAUGGUUAACACCGCCUAGGGAUAGGCUUGCGUCUGAUUAGCUAGUUGGUGGGGCAAAGGCCUACCAAGGCAAUGAUCAGUAGCUGGUCUGAGAGGACAAUCAGCCACACUGGGACUGAGACACGGCCCAGACUCCUACGGGAGGCAGCAGUGAGGAAUUUUCCGCAAUGGGCGAAAGCCUGACGGAGCAAUGCCGCGUGGAGGAUGAAGGCCCGUGGGUUGUAAACUCCUUUUCUUAGAGAAGAAGCCCUGACGGUAUCUAAGGAAUAAGCAUCGGCUAACUCCGUGCCAGCAGCCGCGGUAAUACGGGGGAUGCAAGCGUUAUCCGGAAUCAUUGGGCGUAAAGGGUCCUGAGGUGGUUUGCUAAGUCUACUGUGAAAGAUCAGGGCUCAACCCUGAAGAUGCGGUGGAAACUGGCAGGCUAGAAUACGGUAGGGGCAGGGGGAAUUCCCGGUGUAGCGGUGAAAUGCAUAGAUAUCGGGAAGAACACCAAAGGCGAAAGCACCCUGCUGGGCCGAUAUUGACACUGACAGACGAAAGCUAGGGGAGCGAAUGGGAUUAGAUACCCCAGUAGUCCUAGCCGUAAACGAUGGAUACUAAGUGCUGAACGACCAAAAACGUGCAGUGCUGCAGCUAACGCGCUAAGUAUCCCGCCUGGAGUAUGCCCGCAUGGUGAACUCAAAGGAUGACGGGGCC